UAUAUUUGUUUGUCUAUUUACUCUGAGUAGUCAGGUCCAGACCAUGUUUUGUUGUUGUUGUAUUUGUUUGUCUAUUUACUCUGAGUAGUCAGGUCCAGACCAUGUGUUGUUAGUUGUUAUAUUUGUUUGUCUAUUUACUCUGAGUAGUCAGGUCCAGAACAUGUGUUGUUAGUUGUUAUAUUUGUUUGUCUAUUUACUCUGAGUAGUCAGGUCCAGAUAAUGUGUUGUUAGUUGUUAUAUUUGUUUGUCUAUUUACUCUGAGUAGUCAGGUCCAGACCAUGUGUUGUGUGUUGUUGUAUUUGUUUGUCUAUUUACUCUCAGUAGUCAGGUCCAGACCAUGUGUUGUGUGUUGUUGUAUUUGUAUGUCUAUUUACUCUGAGUAGUCAGGUCCAGACCAUGUGUUGUGUGUUGUUAUAUUUGUUUGUCUAUUUACUCUGAGUAGUCAGGUCAGGUCCAGACCAUGUGUUGUUUGUUGUUGUAUUUGUUUGUCUCUGAGUAGUCAUGUCCAGAUAAUGUGUUGUUAGUUGUUAUAAUUGUUUGUCUAUUUACUCUGAGUAGUCAGGUCCAGACCAUGUGUUGUGUGUUGUUAUUUGUUUGUCUAUUUACUCUGAGUAGUCAGGUCCAGACCAUGUGUUGUUAGUUGUUAUAUUUGUUUGUCUAUUUACUCUGAGUAGUCAGGUCAGGUCCAGACCAUGUGUUGUUGUUGUUGUAUUUGUUUGUCUCUGAGUAGUCAGGUCCAGAUAAUGUUUUGUUAGUUGUUAUAUUUGUUUGUCUAUUUACUCUGAGUAGUCAGGUCCAGACCAUGUGUUGUGUGCUGUUGUAUUUGUUUGUCUAUUUACUCUGAGUAGUCAGGUCCAGACCAUGUGUUGUUUGUUGUUGUAUUUGUUUGUCUAUUUACUCUGAGUAGUCAGGUCCAGACCAUGUGUUGUUUGUUGCUAUAUUUGUUUGUAUAUUUACUCUGAGUAGUCAGGUCAGGUCCACACCAUGUGUUGUUAGUUGUUAUAUUUGUUUGUCUAUUUACUCUGAGUAGUCAGGUCCAGACCAUGUGUUUUUUGUUGUUAUAUUUGUUUGUCUAUUUACUCUCAGUAGUCAGGUCCAGACCAUGUGUGGUGUGUUGUUAUAUUUGUUUGUCUAUUUACUCUGAGUAGUCAGGUCCAGACCAUGUGUUGUGUGUUGUUAUAUUUGUUUGUCUAUUUACUCUGAGUAGUCAGGUCCAGAUCAUGUGUUGUGUUGUUAUAUUUGUUUGUCUAUUUACUCUGAGUAGUCAGGUCCAGAUCAUGUGUUGUUAGUUGUAUGUUUGUUUGUCUAUUUACUCUGAGUAGUCAGGUCCAGGCCAUGUGUUGUUGUUGUUAUAUUUGUUUGUCUAUUUACUCUGAGUAGUCAGGUCCAGACCAUGUGUUGUUAGUUGUAUAUUUGUUUGUCUAUUUACUCUCAGUAGUCAGGUCAGGUCCAGACCAUGUGUUGUUUGUUGUUGUAUUUGUUUGUCUGAGUAGUCAGGUCCAGAGUGUUGUGUUGUUGUAUUUGUUUGUCUAUUUACUCUGAGUAGUCAUGUCAGGUCCAGACCAUGUGUUGUUAGUUGUUAUAUUUGUUUGUCUAUUUACUCUGAGUAGUCAGGUCCAGACCAUGUGUUGUGUGUUGUUAUAUUUGUUUGUCUAUUUACUCUGAGUAGUCAGGUCCAGACCAUGUGUUGUAAGUUGUUAUAUUUGUUUGUCUAUUUACUCUAAGUAGUCAGGUCCAGAUCAUUUUUGUGUGUUGUUGUAUUUGUUUGUCUAUUUACUCUGAGUAGUCAGGUCCAGACCAUGUGUUGUUUGUUGUUAUAUUUGUUUGUCUAUUUACUCUGAGUAGUCAGGUUAGGUCCAGACCGUGUGUUGUGUGUUGUUAUAUUUGUUUGUCUAUUUACUCUGAGUAGUCAGGUCAGUUCCAGUCCAUGUGUUGUGUGUUGUCAUAUUUGUUUGUCUAUUUUCUCUGAGUAGUCAGGUCAGGUCCAGACUGUGUGUUGUGUUGUGAUAUUUGUAUGUCUAUUUACUCUGAGUAGUCAGGUCAGGACCAGACCAUCAGUUGUGUUGUGAUAUUUGUUUGUCUAUUUACUCUGAGUAGUCAGGUCCAGACCAUGAGUUGCGAUAUUUGUUUGUCUAUAUACUCUGAGUAGUCAGGUGAGGUCCAGACCAUGAGUUGUGAUAUUUGUUUGUCUAUUUACUCUGAGUAGUCAGGUCAGGUCCAGACCAUGAGUUGUUAUAUUUGUUUGUAUAUUUACUCUGAGUAGUCAAGUCAGGUCCAGACCAUGAGUUGUGAUAUUUGUUUGUCUAUUUACUUUUAGUAGUCAGGUCCAGACUAUGUGUUGUUUGUUGUUACAUUUGUUUGUAUAUUUACUCGAGUAGUCAGGUCAGGUCCAGGCCAUGUGUUGUUUGUAGUUAUAUUUGUUCGUCUAUUUAAUUUUGAGAAGUCAGGUCCAGAUCAUGUGUUGUGUGUUGUUACAUUUGUUUGUUUAUUUACUCGGAGUAGUCAGGUCAGGUCCAGACCAUGUGUUACAGUGUGUUGUUACAUUUGUUUGUCUAUUUACUAUGAGUAGUCAGGUCCAGAUCAUGUGUUGUGUGUUAUUACAUUUGUUUGUAUACUUACUCUAAGUAGUCAGGUCAGGUCCAGACCAUGUGUUGUGUGUUGUUACAUUUGUUUGUCUAUUUACUCAGAGUAGUCAGGUCCAGACCAUGUGUUGUUUGUUGUUAUAUUUGUUUGUUUAUUUACUCUGAGUAGUUAGGUCAGGUCCAUGCCUUGUGUUGUGUGUUGUUAUAUUUAUUUGUCUAUUUACUCUGAGUAGUCAGGUCCAGACCAUGUGUUGUUUGUUGUUAUAUUUGUUUGUUUAUUUACUCUGAGUAGUCAGGUCAGGUCCAUGCCAUGUGUUGUGUGCUGUCAUAUUUGUUUGUCUAUUUACUCUGAGUAGGCAGGUCCAGGCCAUGUGUUGUGUGUUGUUAUAUUUAUUUGUCGAUUUACUCUGAGUAGUCAGGUCAGGUCCAUACCAUGUGUUGUGUGUUGUUAUAUUUAUUUGUCUAUUUACUCUGAGUAGUCAGGUCAGGUCCAGACCAUGUGUUGUUUGUUGUUAUAUUUAUUGUCUAUUUACUCUGAGUAGUCAGGUCAGGUCCAGACCAUGUGUUGUGUGUUGUUAUAUUUUUUGUCUAUUUACUCUGAGUAGUCAGGUGCAGA
RNAcentral lists this long non-coding RNA (3198 nucleotides) under Mytilus galloprovincialis (Mediterranean mussel). The record is from RNAcentral. Lineage: Eukaryota; Metazoa; Mollusca; Bivalvia; Mytilida; Mytilidae.